Molecule: ribosomal RNA, 488 nt
Filed under: uncultured bacterium
Lineage: Bacteria
Description: partial 16S ribosomal RNA
Rfam family: Bacterial small subunit ribosomal RNA
Source: RNAcentral
GAUGAACGCUAGCGGCAGGCCUAAUACAUGCAAGUCGGACGGGAUCCAUUGAUAGCUUGCUAUCAAUGGUGAGAGUGGCGCACGGGUGCGUAACGCGUGAGCAACCUGCCUCCAUCAGGGGGAUAGCCUCUCGAAAGAGAGAUUAACACCGCAUAAUAUCAACAGUUCGCAUGUUCAGUUGAUUAAAUAUUUAUAGGAUGGAGAUGGGCUCGCGUGACAUUAGCUAGUUGGUAGGGUAACGGCUUACCAAGGCGACGAUGUCUAGGGGCCCUGAGAGGAGAAUCCCCCACACUGGUACUGAGACACGGACCAGACUCCUACGGGAGGCAGCAGUAAGGAAUAUUGGUCAAUGGGCGGAAGCCUGAACCAGCCAUGCCGCGUGCAGGAUGACUGCACUAUGGGUUGUAAACUGCUUUUGUCCAGGAAUAAACCUAAAUACGAGUAUUUAGCUGAAUGUACUGGAAGAAUAAGAAUCGGCUAACUCCGUG